GACGAACGCUGGCGGCGUGCCUAAUACAUGCAAGUAGAACGCACAGUUUAUACCGUAGCUUGCUACACCAUAGACUGUGAGUUGCGAACGGGUGAGUAACGCGUAGGUAACCUGCCUGGUAGCGGGGGAUAACUAUUGGAAACGAUAGCUAAUACCGCAUAAUAUUAAUUAUUGCAUGAUAAUUAAUUGAAAGGUGCAAUUGCACCACUACCAGCUGGACCUGCGUUGUAUUAGCUAGUAGGUGAGGUAACGGCUCACCUAGGCGACGAUACAUAUCCGAACUGGGAAGGGGAUCGGCCAACAUGGGAAUGAGAAACGGCCCAGGCUCCUACGGGAAGGAGCAGUAGGGAAUCUUCGGCAAUGGGCGAAAGUCUGGCCGAGCAACGCCGCGUGAGUGAAGAAGGUUGUCGGAUCGUAAAGCUCUGUUGUAAGGGAAGAACGGGAGUGGGAGUGGAAAGUUCACACUGUGACGGUAUCUUACCAGAAAGGGACGGCUAACUACGUG
This 505-nucleotide ribosomal RNA is filed under the name uncultured bacterium. RNAcentral's name for it is "partial 16S ribosomal RNA". It matches the Rfam family "Bacterial small subunit ribosomal RNA", at positions 28 to 507 of the family's 1533-position model. The record is from RNAcentral.